UACGGAGGGUGCAAGCGUUGUUCGGAAUUACUGGGCGUAAAGGGCGCGUAGGCGGGUUUGUGUGUCGUCUGUGAAAUCCCUGGGCUUAACCCGGGAACUGCAGGCGAAACUGCAAAUCUUGAGUGCCUGAGAGGGUGAUGGAAUUCCUGGUGUAGUAGUGAAAUACGUAGAUACCAGGAGGAACACCGGAGGCGAAGGCGGUCACCUGGUGGUGCACUGACGCUAAAGCGCGAAAGCGUGGGGAGCAAACAGG
RNAcentral lists this ribosomal RNA (253 nucleotides) under uncultured bacterium. RNAcentral's name for it is "partial 16S ribosomal RNA". It matches the Rfam family "Bacterial small subunit ribosomal RNA", at positions 524 to 776 of the family's 1533-position model. The record is from RNAcentral.